This 239-nucleotide ribosomal RNA is filed under the name uncultured methanogenic archaeon. RNAcentral's name for it is "partial 16S ribosomal RNA". It matches the Rfam family "Archaeal small subunit ribosomal RNA", at positions 362 to 602 of the family's 1478-position model. The record is from RNAcentral. Lineage: Archaea; Methanobacteriati; Methanobacteriota.
AAACCGUGAUAAGGGGACACCGAGUGCCAGCAUCAUAUGCUGGCUGUCCGGAUGUGUAAAAUACAUCCGUUAGCAAGGGCCGGGCAAGACCGGUGCCAGCCGCCGCGGUAACACCGGCGGCCCGAGUGGUGAUCGUGAUUAUUGGGUCUAAAGGGUCCGUAGCCGGUUUGGUCAGUCCUCCGGGAAAUCUGAUAGCUUAACUAUUAGGCUUUCGGGGGAUACUGCCAGACUGGAACCGG